AUGCGCGGGGUCCGGGAAAGAGCUGGACCACAAGGAUCUAUUGUAUGCAGCCUUACCCUUGCAUUUCUGCAAGAGACUGUUCCACUGCUCGAACCGUGACCUCCUGGUCACAUGACAGCAACUUUACCAGUUACGCCAAGCAGGGGCGGAACUACAGGGGUGCAAGGAGUGUCAAUCGAACCCCCUUCGUCGGAAAAUUGCACUAUAUAUAUGGAGUCAAUUUUUUAUUCAUGUAUAAAUAUUUAUGUUGCAUCCCCUUAACAUAAUGGAGAACUUAGCUCAGCGGCUGAGGCGCCUACUAUUGAACCCAUGGUUGCGGGUUCGAUUAUCUGUAACAACACUUUUUAACCCUUUUUCAUCCAGUCUCUUUUUCUUGAACCCCCUUAUCAAAUGUUCUGGCUCCGCCCCUGACGCCAAGGCUCCCUUCAAUGGAAAGCAAGAUAGUGAAUGAAUAUAUUUUAUCUGUUUAUAUAGUAGUGUUCAAAAAUCAAAAGUUAAUGGUUACGAAUCCUUUCAAAUUCUGUAAUAAGUAUUGACUGCAUAAACUUGUAACUGAAAGGAUAGGGAAAAGGUAUAACUGAAAUUUUAUGCAAUAAAGGAAUUAAAGGAGGAGAGGAAAUUGAUAGGAAGAAGAGAAAGAAAUUACGAAAGAAACAGUAAUGGUUCUUAAUAUGAUUACGUUUACCCAAUACUAAUUCCAACGUAUGUUUGAUGUGAAAGCUGAAUAUGAGUAAAAAUUAAACCCUAGAGCCUCUUAAUCAUGCAUCAUUUACUAAAUGUUUUUCUUUAUUUUUUUGGGAAAAAGUCAUUUUCGUAAUCUAACUUUUAACUUGGGAGCUUUCCACUUUUAAUAAUAUAUGAUUUGUUCAGACAAAAAUGAUACUACGGCUCUUCGCGACCUUAUUCGACUUUUGGCCAUUGGUUUGGUCCUAUCAUUAUAUGCCUCCUUUGUUUUGUUCUACUAUUGAAGUUUUUUUGUUUUUUGUUUUUUUUCAUUUGAUGUUCGGUAUUCGAAUCGGGAUCCUGACAAAUUCUAAUUUGCGCUGCGUAAAGUCCAUUUAAAGAAAAAUAUUUUCUAAUAAAUUCUUUUUAGAAAUAGGUCAACAGCCUUUUUGUAUAAGAAAUAGUGUUGGAGAUUUGAUCAGUGCUAGGCAGGGGCGGAUUUAGAGGCUGCCCAGGGUGUUCACCCGAACACCCUCGGCGAAAAAUUACAGUGUAUGUAUAGGGUAGAUUUUUUGUAUUUAUGUACAUAUAUUAACUUCUGAACAUCCUAAACAAAUGCAAAAGGUUAGCUCAAGUGGUUCAAGGUGUUCAAAUUGAAUCUAGCAUCCUAGGUUUGAUUCCCAGUAACAACAUUAUUUUUUAUAUUUAGCUUUUGUUGUUUUUUCCGAACCCCCUGAGUCAAAAUCCUAGAUUCGCCACUGGUGCUAGGGGAAGAAGAUUACAAGACACUACUAACAUUAUUGCAGAGCUUAUAGCUAUAAAAGAUUGUCUGAAAUUUUGUCUGGAGAAUCAUCUGAUUCCAGUUGUAGUUGAACAAAUUCAUUAGCUAUGAGAAACAUGUUGGAAGGAGAAUGGAAGGUUCCUUGGUGUGUGACAUUGGAAGUUAAUGCAAUUCAAGCCAUGAGGGAGGGUUAUGAUGUACAAGUUGUGCAUGUGCUCAGAGAAGGGAAUACUCUGGCUGAUUAUUUCACUAACCUGAUUUUUUAUUUGCAGGCACAAUUGAAUUCAAUUCAUUUCAGGAGGUUCCAUUAACAGGGAAGAAGAUCAUCAACCCGGACAAGAGUCAAACACCUCACAUGAGAACAACGACCAUGAGAAGAGAAGGACAGGACUGAGUCACAUCAAAUUACAUGUAACAAGUCUGAGGAUUGAGAAUACAACUUGCGUGCUCUAUGGAUGCAUUUCAGUGACAGAUGGAUUCAACAUUAGCUUAAUUUGAUGGUGGUAUUAGCAUGCUCUAUCCACGUGGCCUUUCUUCAACAGCCUCAUCGGCGUCAACUUUAAAAUUUCUCCGUCGCCGCCGGAAACGUUUCAUCCUCAUCGGGAAACGCCGUUUCAAUGGAGGUCUCAUGUGGACGGUGUCACGAAGGAAUUUGUUGACGGAGGAAUCGAGUUUGGCGGCAUCGGCUAUGGCCAUUAAUGCUUGUAGAAACAAGAGAAAGAGGAAUGGGGGUUAUAGCUGAGGCAAUUGGAAGGUUUUCGGAGAUAUAUCAAAGAGUAGACAAGGCAAAAACAGAGACCAAUGGUGGACUUGCAAUUUGCUGAAGAUUUGGAGAUACAACAGAGAAGGAAACUGAUUAUGGAGUCACAAGUGCAUCUUAAAUGCUCGGACUUAGAUUGCAAUCCAGUCCACACGAGUGCUUGUGCAUGUAUCCUGUGUUGCGCGGACUCGACCCUUCAAAAGUAGUACAUUUUUGGAGGAUAUGACACGGGCUGAAAACUCUAUUUUCCUUGUCUUGGAGUUUUGUGCUGGCGGGGAUCGGGCUUCUUAUAUUCGGAAUCAUGGCAGAGUUCAAGAAUGUGUAGCUAGAAAAUUUAUGAGACAGAUUGGAGCUGGCCUAGAGGUACUAAGCAUGCACCAAAUCGUCCACCGUGACUUGAAGCCGGAGCAAAAAGUUUCUCUUUCUGGAUGUUGAGCACGAAAAUUCAGCAUUUUGCAGCAUCGUCACUUCAAUUUGGCUAGAGGAGCUUGGAGUGAGCUAGAGGAGUGCUUUUCAUAUCGGUUUUCUGCAUAUGGACUUAUUUUAUGCCUUGAAAGGAUGACAAAUAACCUUCUUUAAAAAAAAAGGAUUACAGAUGAUUCUACCCCAAUUGUCUCUCCCUACUUUUAUGGGACUCUGUCAGACACUGCUAUGGACUAAGAGAGAGAAGGUAGUCUAUCCAAGGGGUGGAAGCCACUUCUUUUAUCAUAUGUUCGCAUUUCUUUCAUCAUAGACAGUUUCUCCAUGAGUUUAAGGGGUUCAUGUUGCUAGGGAAAUCAAUUCAGCGAUACUGAUUCCAACCUUUAAAAGGUACUCCUCCGUCUCAAUUUAUGUGAAGGUGUUUGACCGGGCAAAAGUUUAAGAAUGAAAAAGAUAAAGAUUUUUAAACUUGUGGUCUAAAACAAGCCUUAGCUAUCUGUGAGGCUAAAUUAUUUCAGUAGGGUAAAAUGAGAUGUUUAAAGUUAAAUUGUUAUUAAACAUAGAAAGGUGUCCUUUUUUUGGGAUUGAUCAAGAAGGAAAGAAUGUCACAUAUAUUGGGACAUAGGAGUAGUUGUUGUCUUCUAAAACUUUCAACAGUUGCAAGUUGCGGAGGGACAUCUUUAUGGAUAGAUGGAUGAGAUCACGUCUUAAAAGAUCAAUAUUCCAAUAAUAUUAUGUAUCACUGUUUUUGCAACUUGGUGUAAACUGGUACUUGUAACAAAACCAAAGAAGUUAGUGCUGGCAGAAAGAAUUGAUUUCUAGGAAAAUAGAAGCUGCAGAAGGUUCAACUUUACCUGUAAGCCAAACUAACUUUUUCUUGUCUCGAGACUUGAAGAUACUUAGGCGCCCGUUUUCAUGUCCUGCCACCUUUAGUGGGAGAAGUAUGAACAUUUAUCUAGUGCAUUUAUUUUCCUCAAUCCAUGUUCCAUUGACCUUAUUUGUUCAUGUAUCUAUAGGAAAAGCACGGAUGCAUUUGCAAGAUGAGAACGAUAAAAUUGUGCAAUCUGUUAUGUUACCUUUCUCAAAAUUGUACAAUCUGUCUUGUCAAAAGAAAAUGGCUUCAAUUUUGGUAGUGUAACAUUAUAUAGCAUUACCUUUCAUCCAAUUUUUCAUUGUACAUUAGAUUGUUAAUUAUUAUGUUAUUCGGUGAGAAAUUGCACUUCUCAUCUAACUAUUAACAAGUAAUAGGAAAUACUUAGUUCUUUUGGACUGAACUCGUUUUGCAUUUUCUUAGCCCUCUGCUAGUUCACCUCCUUUUCGUGACCAUUGUAUUUGUCACAGUGGUAUUUUACCAUAUCUGGAGCUGUCAAAUAUGGCCAAUUGGGGAAGAAUCUGGAACUCUAUGAUGACUUCUAAUUCUAGUAUAUUUGGGUUCUAG
Molecule: long non-coding RNA, 4062 nt
Organism: Lycium barbarum (goji berry)
Lineage: Eukaryota; Viridiplantae; Streptophyta; Magnoliopsida; Solanales; Solanaceae
Exons: 4
Source: RefSeq, a predicted model, not a curated record